UCCAGACUCCUACGGGAGGCAGCAGUGGGGGAUAUUGCACAAUGGGGGAAACCCUGAUGCAGCGACGCCGCGUGAGUGAAGAAGUAUUUCGGUAUGUAAAGCUCUAUCAGCAGGGAAGAAAAAAGACGGUACCUGACUAAGAAGCCCCGGCUAACUACGUGCCAGCAGCCGCGGUAAUACGUAGGGGGCAAGCGUUAUCCGGAUUUACUGGGUGUAAAGGGAGCGUAGACGGCAAUACAAGUCGGAAGUGAAAUACCCGGGCUCAACCUGGGAACUGCUUUGGAAACUGUAUGGCUGGAGUGCUGGAGAGGUAAGCGGAAUUCCUAGUGUAGCGGUGAAAUGCGUAGAUAUUAGGAGGAACACCAGUGGCGAAGGCGGCUUACUGGACAGUAACUGACGUUGAGGCUCGAAAGCGUGGGGAGCAAACAGGAUUAGAUACCCCGGUAC
Molecule: ribosomal RNA, 447 nt
Filed under: uncultured bacterium
Lineage: Bacteria
Description: bacterial SSU rRNA
Rfam family: Bacterial small subunit ribosomal RNA
Source: RNAcentral